AACGAACGCUGGCGGCAGGCUUAACACAUGCAAGUCGAGCGCCUCGCAAGAGGAGCGGCAGACGGGUGAGUAACGCGUGGGAAUCUACCGUGCCCUAAGGAAUAGCUCCGGGAAACUGGAAUUAAUACCUUAUACGCCCUUCGGGGAAGAUUAUCGGGUAGUGAUGAGCCCGCGUUGGAUUAGCUAGUUGGUGGGGUAAA
Molecule: ribosomal RNA, 200 nt
Filed under: uncultured bacterium
Lineage: Bacteria
Description: partial 16S ribosomal RNA
Rfam family: Bacterial small subunit ribosomal RNA
Source: RNAcentral